RNAcentral lists this long non-coding RNA (10039 nucleotides) under Nothobranchius furzeri (turquoise killifish). Its description in RNAcentral is "lncRNA (ENSNFUG00015018399.1)". Lineage: Eukaryota; Metazoa; Chordata; Actinopteri; Cyprinodontiformes; Nothobranchiidae. The record is from RNAcentral.
GAGAGGUUCUACCUCACAGCCGGUCUGGGAACGCCUCGUAGUCCCUGUGGAGGUGCUGGAGGAGGACUCAAGGAGAGGAAAGGAGGUCUGCAGAUGAAGGAAUGAACAUUACAGCGUUUUUAAACGGCUGCUGUCUGAAUUUUGACCACUAGAGGGUGGUGACAGCACUGUGACGACUUCAACAUGGCUCGCUCUGCUACGUCCAUCCCUGGAGCAGACAGCAGAGGACCGUUCGUCUCCAUCAGCACAGCAGACGGGAUCGUUAGAGGCUGGCAGAAUGAGAGGCGGCGCUCCGACUGGAUUCAGUCCUCCAUCCUCUUCAUCUCAGAGUCUGAUGGACAAACGCUCUGCUGGGAGGAGAUGUAACCGUCUCUAAACAAACAGUCGGGACAACAAACAACCAGAAUAAACACAAAUGCAGUCACGACGGGAGGUGGGGGAGAGGAUGAGCUAACCCAGUGGGAAGAAAUCUGACUGGAAUUUUCCUCCCAGUGGGAUUUUAUCCGAAUGUGAUGAUGCUCACAUUGUUCUGAGGCUUUUGGAGGAUGAUUUUGAUCGGGGGAACUCCAUGCCCCGAACCCCGAACCGUCCUGACUUCGUCCCAGAGCCAAAAGAAAAUGCUUCCGUUCGUCACUGGAGGAGGACACGGAGUUUGAUCUUCCCAGAUCCACCUGCUGAUCCUGAAAAUCAGUUUCAAGGCGAUUCUUUCGAGAUUUAGUCAAAUCAAAGACUUCACGAUUCACUCUUCAAACUACACACGUGCCUCCCACCCGCCCCCCCCACCUUCGGCCGUCCGACCAAUCAUGGGCAAGCCUCUCAGCCGCCCCGGGUGUUUCAGGAAGAGCUCAUGCUGCCUGGAGAAGCAUGGUGUUGGGGAUGGGGGGAUGGGAGGGCGUGAUCUUGUGAUGGAGGGGGGUUACGGAGACGGCUACGUACCCCAGAGGUCCAUUUAUGACACCAUGUGCAUCAACCAGCAGAUCGACAGCCACCACCACCUCCACCACCACCACUCUGGAGGAUCGGUGAGGAGAGAUGGAGGAGGCGACGGGAGCUUCAGCUACUCCACCAGUGGCUCCCUCAGGGUCAGCAGGUCAGACAUGUUUGACCCGCAGCCUCGAUCCUUGACUCCAAACCCGUCGUUCGUGCGGCGGCUGGAUGAGAGAGCCAUCUUUGACUCGCUCAAACUCGGAGGGGAGGAUGCAGACGGCUGCCAUUCACCAGGGCAUUUCAACCGAUCCGUGUCUCCGUCUGUGUCCUCCUUCUCAGCACCGGGAGUGUCCUCCUCCUCAUCUAAGAAGCACUACCAUCACCACCACCAUCACCAUGGCGACAGCACAAAGAGCAGAGACGGCCGGCAUUCCUGGAAAGCCUUGCCAUCUCCAAAACCGCUGGAGUGUCUGGAGCUGACCUCAGCUGAGAUGAUGGACCGAGGAGGCGGGGGCUACCUGAACCCAGGACACUACCCCGCUGGGGGCCAGUCCUCCUCUCUCACCUCCCCCCUCAUCUCACCCUUCUCCGGGUCACCCCUUUCCUCUGGGUACCAUACUCCAGUGUUCUUCUCCCCGACCAAACCCCGUCCCAGUCAGAGCCAGAGUUUACGCUGCUCCCCACCUCAUGUGAUCCAGCCCCGGCAUUACUCCCAAACCCAGAGCCUGAGGAUGUCUCCCCCCCACGAGCUCAGGCGGUCCCCCUACAGGGCCCCUCUGGUCCAACUGUCUGCUCACGACCUGGAGCAGGAUCUGAGAGAGCGAGGAGGAGGCGGGGGUGGAGGGUNNNNNNNNNNUGGAGGGUGGGGCCACAACGAGCGGGACCGGGACUGGGAGAGGGAGCGGGAACGGGAGCUGGAGCGAGGCUGGGCCCAGCGGGAGUGGGAGAGGGAGCGGGAGAGGGGGAGGCUGGAGAGGGAGCGAGCCAGAGAGAGAGAGAGGAGAGAGACAUCCUCCUUUGGGACCUUCGGCUAUGGCCGACCCGUUCCUCUGCGUUCAGACAGGGAUUCUGUGUUUUUGGAAUCGGACCAGGGACUGGACACAACACCCCUCCUCCUCCCCCAACCCUCCCCCUCCCCCAGCGGCGCCCCCAGAAUGGGCACAGGAGCAGUGGGCAGGAACCGGGCGGGGUCAAAGGUGGGUCCUGAAGGUGGAGUCAUGGUCUCUAAAUAUGAUGGAGGGAGCGUUAGCCUGGUGCUGGUGGACAGUAAGUCCGGGAGCAGUCCGAGGUUGGUGAGCGAAGUCGUCACCGGGAACAUGUCGGAGGCAGAAAUGAGAGCUGCCUUUCAGGAGAGAGCAGAAGUUUGGAGCAGGUCCGACAACGGGUCCAGGUCCAGUAAGAAGAACAUGUCUGAGAAGAGGAUGGGCUCUCAGGUGAAAACUCGGCCUGGAGGUCGGGAUCUGGAAGGAAAAGUCCAGUCUGGGUUGGAAAACAAGGAGGGACCCCGAGGAGAAACAAGGAGUGGAGAAAACCACGGAGGUUUUAUAGCAGAACGCAUCCCAGAAUCCUUCAACAGGACCGAACCGGAGAAGCGGGUCGGGUCUGUAGAUCAAGUUCUGGCUGAAGCUGCUGCUGGUCCUGAGAAGAAGGUGGAGCAGGAAGCUGGAGUUGAAGCUAACUCUCGCCAGCUGGAGACUGGAACAGACGUGGAGGUUAAGCAUCAUGCUGGUCCAACAGCUGAGCCCCAGUUAGAAGCAGAUGUCUGGAUUGCUGCUCCACCUGAGGUCCCACCAGAACCCCAGGUCUGUGGGGAGCUCGGACAGCAGAGUCAGGUGGAGGUCACGGUUGCUCCUGAAACUCAAACUCCUGAUGAAGCUCAGAUAGGACCUGGUGUAGGAGACAACCCUGAAGCUGUUCCUUCAGCUCAAACAGAGCACAAACCACAAGAUAAAGCUGAAACCCCCAAACCCGCUAAAGGUUCCAGAUCCAAGUCCAAGUCGUCCAAGUCCUGCUCCAGGUCCCGGCCUGGAACAGCGACGGGGAUGCGGCCCGGCGCUCUCAGCCCUCGACAGACCAAAGGCCUCGGAGACCUGGAGUCCUCCGGUCCACCUGAAAGCAUCGAGUCCACUUGGCCUCGAAGGAUCAUGGUGAGGAAGAGGACAGUCCGUCAGGGCGGGGCCCUCCAUAACCUCCCUAUUCUCCCCCCUCUCCCGUCGGUCCUCUCGGCGCUGGAGAAGCGGCGACCGCACCAACGCCCUGGCUCAGAGAACCCGUUGUCCAACAUAACUAACUCCAUGGUGGGUCGAUGCUCUCUGAAGGAACCGUCCCACACAGAACCGGGUCAGGGGGGUGGUCUGGUGGGCCGGGCUUCCCUGAGGGAGCAGAACCUGGAGCACUGGAGGGUCUGCAGAGAGCAGGAAGAAACAAAUCGAUCCAGAGGCAGAGAAAAACAAGAAGAGAUGAGCAAGAAGCAGGAGGAGAGGAAGGAGAUGCAGGAGGUGGUGGUGGUGGAGGACAUGAAACAAGAUGAAGCAGAGAGGCGGCUUGAAGAAAACGAUCAAGAAAAUACAAACAAAAUGAAAGAGGAGAAGAAGGAACCGGAGCCAGAAACAAGAUCUGGACAGGAGGAGGACAGAAGAACUAAUAUCCAAGAAGCAACAACAGAGAGACAGAGGUGGGAUGUGGAGGAGGUGGAGGCUAAACUACACCCAGAAGAUGUGGAGGUGGAAAUGGAGGGAGGAGAAGGGGGGGCACUGGGUGAGGGAAGGGGUGGGGAGGGUUGGGAUGAUGUUCUGGACAUGGUCAACACACUGUGGGAGGAUAACUGGGACAGACUUGAAGUAGGAGGUGAAGGAGGAGACGAUUCAGAAUCCCUGACAGGCUCUCUCCAUUGCUGGCCUCUCCUCCGGCCCCCGGUCGGGUUCGGUGGCUCCCACCCCCCCUCCUCCGCGGCCUCUGAGCUCAGCCUGACGGAGCUAGAGAGGAGGGCUCGGGAGCUGGACUCUGACCUGGAGCACCUGGAUCUGUCUCAGCCCCACAAGGAGUCUCAGGAUUUAUACCAAACCGUGCUGGAGCCACAGAGGGACCGGACCGACACGUACCAAACCCACCCGGGUCCACAGCGAGACAAAACCGCCCUGCACACAGGAGUCAGCAACAGAUCUCAGGUCAGUUUGGAGCUCAAUCCGAUGACCUCAUCAGUUUCCGACUCUGACCGGUCUCCUGUGGAUUGGUCGAUGAAAUCUUCUGGCACUUCCACCGCCGGCACCAGCUCCACUAAGGAGGACAGCUCUCCUGACUCCAACCUAACACUGGAGUCCGACUCCAGUGGUGUAUUCCUGUCUUUAUCCAAUCAGAGCCAGGAAGAUGGUGGAUCAGACAGCGACCAGCCUAUCAGCGGAUCAGAACUAGGCAGCAGCAACACAUCACUGGAGAAAGAUGGAGAUGAUGGAGGGCUGAAGGAAUGGGGAAGGGAGGAGAGUGCUGAGCUACAGUGGUGCUAUCCAUCGCUCCUCAACACCCCCUCAUAUGACAACACUGAAGGGGAUGGUGAAACGGGAUGUGGAAGGAUGGAGGGAGUUCAGGGAGGAAAUGGGAGGAAGGAUGGUGGGAUGGGGAUGGUUUCAUCCAGAAACGACACUAAAGGCUCCUUAAACGUUCCACAAAGAGAAGAGCUGCCCCCCAGGAGGAAAGUGACCCUGAUGGGAGUUGAGACCCCCCUUUCUCUGUCUCCUUCAAAGCCAAUCAAACACUUUCUGGAUCCCAAUCAGAAACCAAUCAGAAGCUCCGGAUUAGACUGUGGGGACCUGGAUCCGUUUGUCCAAUCGGACAGCUUCGUUUAUCUUGCUGUAACUGCAAGACCAGGAUCCGCGGCCGGGAAAGACAUUCCUACCCAUGAUGCAAAGCAAGAAAAUGUCCAACAGGCAGACAGCAUGACAGCACGUGUUGACCAGCCAAAUAUAGAACAACACGCCAAGAUGGCGCACCUAGCCCCACACAAGCCAGAAGAGGGGGACUUCCUGUGCACCGACAGCUUCGUCUACCUGGCCGCUCCAGCCUGCCUCCUGCUGGACCCGACAGGAACCGCGCCCUACAGUGGCAAGGAGUCGGAUUCUGAGAGUUCGGACUCUGGCCCGGUGGACGUCUCUGUUCUGGGCUGUGGCUCUGUGGCAGGGGACAGCGACUGGGACUCGGACUUGUCUGACUCUGAUCCCAGUCGCUCCUCCAGAAUCCCUGCCGCUGGAAAGUCAGCCGGCAUAGCGCGGCCAAAGCGACUUCCCGUUGAACCCGACUGGGAUGUGUUCGGAGAAGCUGUAGAACCCGAAGAUCUGAGUGAAGAACAGGAUCAACCUGAAGAGGUUACAGGGGUCAUCACCAGCAUGGCAUUAUCACCGACCGUUUCCAUGGAAACCCAUCCCGUCGCUGCAGCAAUGAAGCCGGCGACGUCGACCGAGCAGCUGUCAAUGACCAAGAAGGUGACGUGGCAGUUUAAACCGGCCCAGAGGUCCGUUUGCACCGGAAGCAGGAAGGAAAAGGAGAAGGAACUGGCAAGAUUCUCAGAGAGCGAAGGCGAUGCCUACAGAGCCUCCCCUUCAUCAUCGUCUUCAUCGUCACCUUCAUCAUCGUCGUCAGGUUGAACUCAGGAAGUGAAGCAGAAAGGUAAAGAACUUCAGUCUGAACUUUUCUUCUCUGUGACGUUUGCAUCCAGCUGCCGCCUCCAGCCUCGUCAAAGCUGCAGAAAGUUGUUGCUUUUCCUCCAAACGGCCGACACGCGAUCCUAUUUAACCGCUUCCCGUCUCAUUAUCAGUAGUUUUAUUUCCAUCUGUCUCUAGAUAAUAAAUAUAAAGUUUUACUCUGACCUGGAGCGGGUAUGAAGUUUAGUUGUUUUUGAUGCGUUUAUGAUCACAUGAAUGACACAGCUGGACGAGUGUGUUUUGUAAUCAUAUCCGGUGUUUAAUGAGAUAUUUUGACCUCUGAGGUAGAAAUCUACGUGGUGAACCAGGACCCGGUAAGGGAAGGGUUAAAUAAAUGUUUUAUUUAUCAUUUAGAAUGAAAUUGUGAAUGUAAUAAUUAAGCAAUACGCUUACAGAUUAAUUCUAUAUUCUAUGUUUCAUUUGUAAAAAGUGCUUCUGUGUGAAAUAACGGCUGUUUAGUUUUCCUCAUGCAGCCUGUUGCUGAUUGUAGAAACGGUUUUAUGCACAUUUAAGGUUUUACUGGAACGUUUUUAAGCUUGAAAUGCUGAGAUGACCUCCAACUUCAGCCUCUGAGCAGACGUGAAGGACGAUAAUUGUUGCUUCUGGUUUUGGCAAGAAAACGCAGUUAAAUGUCCGUCUGGAGGCGCCGAUGCAAAGACACGUUUGCUUUUGCUGAAAGAUUCUGAAAUAAUCAUCAGAAUAAAAAGUAAAUGAGGUUUGAAGAGCGUUAACCCUUCAGCUGAUCGCUGGUGGAGCAUAUUUUAGUCCUUCUGUCUAACAGAAACUUGAAUGUGACACAAAGAACUAAGAGUUAACCCCCAAGACGCCUCUUCUGAAGCUGGAGGAGCCGCCGGUCAUCUCAGCAGCGGUCGGGUUGUCGAACCGUUAGAAUGAUGAAUGUGGCUGAACGGAUGUUAGUGAUGGUUCCUGGAGCUCCUUCAGAGCCAGAAGAGAUGAAGGCUUGGACCGGUUUCGUUCAGUCAGACGGGAAACCAAACGGGUCGGUGAGAAGAAAGUUCAGCCUUCUGCAGCCUUAACUGCCAACAUGAACACUGAAACGCUUUUAUGCUGUGUGGUGAUGAUGGUGCACCAACGGCGUUUGGUGCAGCCCUGAAUGCAGCUGCGGGAGUGGUGACGGACUCCUCUCCGGUGCUUUAAGCCCACAAGCACGUUUCACCGAGGACAGGAGUGCUUCACUAGCAGUUCUUUGUGUUUAAAGCUGCAGCUGCUUGUUUUCGACUGUCUGAAUGUUUUAGAGAGCAGAACCAGAACCGAAAGGAUGGGUCGGAUGCAUCACAACGAUCUGAGAAAACCCUGGUUUUAAAGCACAACCGUGAAUUUAAAUCAGAUUUAUUUUGUAGUCAGGUGAAACUUGAACAGCUUCCAUGUGAAUGAGAACAUCUGAACUCUCUGGAGCCCCUUCUGUCACCAGAAACGACGUUAGAGCUUCCAAGUCAGCGAGUCCACCUUAAAUCACCCUGCUGCGCUCCUCUGUGAGAUCGGAUCUGGUGUUCUGGAGCAGACAGACGUGUGACACAUGGUCAGCUGUAGCAGUUCGGACUCCGGUCUGAACCGGCUGAGACGCUCGAGCUGUUGCUGCUGGAGGUUUGGUCAUCGUGAUCAGAGCUGGAGACACGACCAAGCCCAGCGGGGUCAAAGGGGUUGGGUUAAAACCCAAACGGGUCAGCGGCGGGAGGAGAGAAUGUUCCACCGGAUCAGAACCAAAACCACUCCACAAACAAUUCCAACUGUAGUUUCACAUUAAAAGCACUGAAAUCUGGACUUUCUGUUAUUUCUAACAGCGGUUUAGAUGACAUCAUAAUAUCCAUAAACACAUCAUCACAUCUAGAUCUAAAAGGGUUUUUGUCUGCUAAACAUUUUGUAGGAAACACAUUAUGACAUUUUUUAGUUCUCUGGUCUCACAAAGUGAUUUCAAACAGUUUUAUUCUAGACAGUUUCAGUCCCUUCCAGAAUGAGCCGUUUCAAGGCUCUGUCACUUUAAGACAAGUUGCUGCUGGCCACACCCACCCAUCCCUGAUUGGCUUCUAUCAGAGGAGAGGUUUCAGUAUCCAGGAGGGGCUUGAAGUAGAGCCGCUGCACCUCCUGCAGGUGGUGUGUGCGGGUCUGUGACUUAGUGGUACAUUUUUUAAACUUUCUUUGUUUAAAUCUAAAUUAAUCUGAUCCAGGUUUAGGAAAUCUCACCAUUCCGUCUGGAUCCUUCACAAAUUCCUGAGUCUGGAACCAGAAGAUCCCAGAGGAACCGUGCGAUCACCAGAUGGUGGAAAUAAACCCGAUGGUUGCAGGAGCUUGGGUCCAUCUUUGCAUUAUGGGAUGUCACCUGAGCGGUCCAAACUCAGAGAGAGGAGGUUCUGUCCUCCUCCGAGCCUGAGCUCUACCAUCGAGCCUGUGACGAGUUCCUGCCAGCUCUGAUCACAUGACCAGGUCCCGUUGUGUUUCUGUGAAACUGGCUGCUCCUCUAAAACCACCCGGACAGAUCCGGUCCACUUCCUGACACUGUGUUCUGUUCAGGUCCGGUUCUGGACGGGUCUGGGUUAGUCCCGUUUCACUGUGAUCUCCUUCAGACCCGACUCCUCCUGCAUCCGCUGUUUCCGCUCCUCCAGAGUUCAGAGCUGCGGCUGGUGUUUAGGGAAGCGAUGCUUUGAGAGGGAAUCUUUUUGUGUGCCAUGUUUUCCAAAACUUUGCUGGAAAUCGUUCAUGUUCUAAUAAAAGCUCGGCUUGAUGGUGAACCCGGCUCGUUUCUUCUGUGUGAACGGUUCUGAAGCUCCUUUAUUCCCAACAGGUUUCAUUUCUUUACUCGUCUUCAGGGGUUUCCGUCUGAAACCGAUUCAGUUGAACCCAGAUCCAGUUCUCCUACUUCCCAACGUUCCCGCUACACCUCCAGAACCUGACAGUGUUCUGACUCUGAGGAACCAGAUGAUGGAGACGUUCAGGUCCUUUUUGUCUUGUUUUUCUGAAGGUAUUCAGCAGAACCGGGUCAUCCUGGUCACAUGUUUGUGUUUCUAAAUCCUCCAACAUCCUCUAUUAGGAAUGGGCCAGAACCACAGCAGGCUGGUCCAGAACCUGUCUUCUCUGAGCAGAAUCUGGUUUUUGGAAGUCCCUGAAGGCAGCUGAACCCUGACUCUAGACUCAGAACCAGGAGUUUGGACCCACCGUUGGCGUUACUCGUUUUUCUCCUUGUUUCUGGACCGAAGGAGUCCAGAACACUGAUCCGUCUGACCAGAACCCUCUGAGGUUCUACUCCUGCCCAGAUGGAGCCAAGAGGAGUUGGUAUGAAAGGAAGAAUUUCUUUUUUGUUUUAUUUAACUUAUUUUAUAAUUUAUGGAACCGUUUUCUUCCGUUUGUUCUCAGAUGAGAUCCUUUUGGAUCAGAUCAGAGUUUCGAUUGUGAAUCACUCAUUUAUUAUUAUUUAUUUAGAGAUGAUGUCGUGUUCCAGCUGAAGACGGCUGAAACUCUAAAUCUACGGGUGUUUAAAUGUGUGAAUGAAGUUUUUAGUCUGGAUUCUGUUUUAACGUGCCGCUGUUUAACCUCCAUGUUUACAGAACGUAACUCGACGGACAACAGCUGGAAUUCAUCAGGUACGGAAACAGAAACUCAACAUUACGGUUUAAUGAAGUUGGAUUUGAUUACUGAGUUUGAAAUAAUUCUUUAAGAAUCCAAAAUGACCCGUGCCCCUCUAAUCCUUCUAGUUUGUUCACAUUUAAUUUCACAUUAUGUGCCUGAAAUUCACAAAUCUUUCUUCAAACAACACAUUUCUACAAAGUUUCCUCGAAUCAUUCAUUCAUAACGGAUGUGAUUUAUAUCUGUGAUGGGAGAGAGAGCAGAGGAGGAGAGUAGAAAAACGUAAGGGGCCAGAUCUAACCAUCAACACACACACACACACACACACACACACACACACACACACACACAGCAGUGCCAUCUGCGUGUUAAAUAGUACAUGGUGCAGUAAUGUAGGUCUGUCUAUUUCAGGCUGAUUAAUUAGAUCGCCCUGAAUCAGGUCAGAGAACGAGAGGGGCGGCCAUGAUGAAAAUCUUCAUCUAUGUGCCAGUUCCUCAUCAGCCGCAGGGACAGAACAGAUCAUGUGACCUGGUUCUAGUUCUGGUAGAUCCGGAAUCAGGAGAAGGCUUCAACUGAUUUACAAUUUACAGAAUUGAGAUGAUGAUGAUGAUGAUAGUGAUGGUGAUGAUUAUGAUGAUUAUGGUGUUGAUGAAGAUGGUGAUGGUGAUGAUGAUAAUAAUGGCGAUGAUGGUGAUGACGAUAGUGAUGAUGAUGCUGAAAAUGGUAAUGAUGGCGAUGGUGCUGAUGCUGAAGGUGAUGAUGAUGAGGCUGAUGAUGAUGAUGAUGAUGAUGAUGGUGAUGAUGCUGAUGGUGAUGGUGAUGUGACGAUGGUGAUGGUG